CCUACGGGAGGCAGCAGUGGGGGAUAUUGCACAAUGGGGGGAACCCUGAUGCAGCGACGCCGCGUGGGUGAAGAAGCGCCUCGGCGCGUAAAGCCCUGUCAGCAGGGAAGAAAAUGACGGUACCUGAAGCAGAAGCCCCGGCUAACUACGUGCCAGCAGCCGCGGUAAUACGUAGGGGGAAAGCGUUAUCCGGAUUGACUGGGUGUAAAGGGGGCGUAGACGGCGAUGCAAGCCAGGUGUGAAAGCCCGGGGCCCAACCCCGGGACUGCUCUUGGAACUGCGUGGCUGGAGUGCAGUAGGGGCAGGCGGAAUUCCUGGUGUAGCGGUGAAAUGUGUAGAUAUCAGGAGGAACACCGGUGGCGAAGGCGGCCUGCUGGACUGCAACUGACGUUGAGGCCCGAAAGCGUGGGGAGCAAACAGGAUUAGAUACCCUUGUAGUC
This 440-nucleotide ribosomal RNA is filed under the name uncultured bacterium. Its description in RNAcentral is "partial 16S ribosomal RNA". It matches the Rfam family "Bacterial small subunit ribosomal RNA", at positions 338 to 795 of the family's 1533-position model. The record is from RNAcentral.